GACGAACGCUGGCGGCGUGCCUAACACAUGCAAGUCGAACGGAGAAUUAGCAAUAAUUCUUAGUGGCGAACGGGUGAGUAACGCGUAGACAACCUACCCUUUAGAUGGGGACAACACCGCGAAAGUGGUGCUAAUACCGAAUAUUGCUUGAGAAGCGCAUGCUUUUCAAACUAAAGAUGGCCUCUAUAUAUAAGCUAUCGCUAAAGAAUGGGUCUGCGUCUGAUUAGCUAGUUGGUGAGAUAAAAGCUAACCAAGGCAACGAUCAGUAGCCGGCCUGAGAGGAUGAACGGCCACACUGGGACUGAGACACGGCCCAGACUCCUACGGGAGGCAGCAGUGGGGAAUCUUCCGCAAUGGACGAAAGUCUGACGGAGCAACGCCGCGUGAGUGAUGAAGGUUUUCGGAUCGUAAAACUCUGUUGUUAAGGACGAAUGUAUAGAUUGUGAAUAAUGGUUUAUAAUGACGGUACUUAACGAGGAAGCCACGGCUAACUACGUGCCAGCAGCCGCCGUAA
This 514-nucleotide ribosomal RNA is filed under the name uncultured bacterium. RNAcentral's name for it is "partial 16S ribosomal RNA". It matches the Rfam family "Bacterial small subunit ribosomal RNA", at positions 28 to 523 of the family's 1533-position model. The record is from RNAcentral.